Molecule: ribosomal RNA, 479 nt
Filed under: uncultured bacterium
Lineage: Bacteria
Description: partial 16S ribosomal RNA
Rfam family: Bacterial small subunit ribosomal RNA
Source: RNAcentral
GACGAACGCUGGCGGCGGGCUUAACACAUGCAAGUCGAACGGUAAGGCCCUUCGGGGUACACGAGUGGCGAACGGGUGAGUAACACGUGGGUGAUCUGCCCUGCACUUCGGGAUAAGCCUGGGAAACUGGGUCUUAUACCGGAUAGGACCACUGCCUGCAUGGGUGGGGGUGGAAAGCUUUUGCGGUGUGGGAUGGGCCUGCGGCCUAGCAGCUUGUUGGUGGGGGGAUGGCCUACCAAGGCGACGACGGGUAGCCGGCCUGAGAGGGUGAACCGGGCAAACUGGGACUGAGGGACGGCCCAGACGCCAACGGGGGGCAGCAGUGGCGAAUAUUGCACAAUGGGCGCACGCCUGAUGCAGAGGCGCCGGGUGAGUGAUGAAGGUCUUCGGGUUGUAAAGCUCUUUCAGCACCGACGAAGCGCAAGUGACGGUAGGUGCAGAAGAAGGACCGGCCAACUACGUGCCAGCAGCCGCCGUAA